This 440-nucleotide ribosomal RNA is filed under the name uncultured bacterium. Its description in RNAcentral is "partial 16S ribosomal RNA". It matches the Rfam family "Bacterial small subunit ribosomal RNA", at positions 338 to 795 of the family's 1533-position model. The record is from RNAcentral.
CCUACGGGUGGCUGCAGUGGGGAAUAUUGCACAAUGGGGGAAACCCUGAUGCAGCGACGCCGCGUGAGCGAUGAAGUCUUUCUGUAUGUAAAGCUCUAUCAGCAGGGAAGAAAAUCACGGUACCUGCCUACGAAGCCCCGGCUCCACACGUCCCAGCCGCCGCGGUAAUACGUCGGGGGCAAGCGUUAUCCGGAUGUACUGGGUGUAAAGGAGGCGUAGCCGGGCCUGCAAGCCGGAUGUGAAAGCCCGGGGCUCAACCCCGGGACUGCAUUUGGAACUGUAAGGCUAGAGUGUGGGAGAGGCAGGCGGAAUUCCUAGUGUAGCGGUGAAAUGCGUAGAUAUUAGGAGGAACACCAGUGGCGAAGGCGGCCUGCUGGACGAUGACUGACGUUGAGGCUCGAAAGCGUGGGGAGCAAACAGGAUUAGAUACCCCUGUAGUC